CAUUAGGGAUUAGAGCCUGCAACUCGGGCUGUGCCCUUGACCAGAAUCAAACCCCUGACCAUUCAGUCCACAGGUCAAUGCUCUAUCCACUGAGCCAAACCGGCUAGGACUGCACUCUAGAUAUUAUCUGAAUUGAGAAUGUUAAGGUGAUUAUUUUACCUCUUGAUAUUUCUGUAGUAAUAUAGGUUCGGGGUUUUUUUUUCUUCUGACUUUCACUUAACAGACUAACUAGAAAAACUUUUUAUACAAAUUAUUUCCUUUUGGUGAGAUGGAAAAAGGGGGUUUUAUUCAAAACUAUCUAGCAUUUACGAUUUUAAGCUUAAGAUUUUCUUUUUAGUUGACAACCAAAAUUUCUUUUGGUUCUCACUUUGUAUAGAUAUAAAAUUUAAAUACCAGAAUUCCUGUCUGUUCUUGAAACUGUUGUUCCAGUGUUUUGUGAGCAAUUAAGCGGAGGGUAAGGUUGAAGGAGGCAGGCCUGAAAUAUGGUAAAGUUGGUUAGUUAAUUCUCUUUGAGUGAGGCUAAUUGAUUAAUUUUGACUGCGACUUCAAAAUUUCCAGUGCAUUCUUACAUAGCUAACCUUGAGUUAGAAAUAGUGGUUUCUGGGACUGUAAAUAGUGAAAAUUAGCCUCUAUAUAUUUUUCGUUAAUUUGUACCCCGUUCAAUACCUUCCCCUCUAGACUUGAGCCACAUAAAUAUAUAUAUAUAUAUAUAUAUAUACACUAAGGAUGUUUUUAAUUUAUAUCUCCUGCUGAUCUUUGUAAACUCAUAAUGAAAAAUCAACUCCUAAUGCUUUUUAGUAUGAACAAUGAUAGUUUUCUAAAAUCAGAAAAUUGGUACCUGAGUAUGUGAUAAUGGUGAUGCAUUCUUCUAGAUAAAGUACUAAACAAUGUAUGGACCCUCAAUUUAUGUCUUUAAGAUUUAAACUGAAGUAAAUUUCUAAGGAACUCUGUCCUUUCCUAGCAAGGAUAAGCAGACAUUGAAAAUUUGGUAAGUAUUUAACUUUAAAUGCAUGUGAUAGUGAUGAAAAAAAGUAGCCAAAUUUCCAUAGUUUUAAGAUAAUAUGUAGACAUGAACAAGAAUUCUUGGAUCUCCUUUGCGACCUAAUGUCUGUCUGUCUUGCCAGCAGUUUUAUAAACUAGUGUUCACAAUGAUUAAAUUGGAAUGUACCUUACUCCUUGUCUGGUUUGGUUAUUUUUUUUCUUUUGUAUGGUGCUUUAAAAUACUAAUUUUAUAUUUAAAGCUUUUUUUCAAGGUUAUCUUCAAGAACUAUUAUUCAGAUGUCCCUAUUUUUAAACCCAAUGACAACUUUGAAUUUACAAACAUUUGUUUUCUAGCUCCAAUUAAAAAUGAAAAAUAGGCAGCUGAUUAUAAAAACUGGGGGGGGAGGGUUAUUUGUGCUCUUUGUGGAAUAUUUGUAGGAAUCGAUAUAUUGCAGUAAAAUAUUGUUAACUGCCAAGGUUGCAGGUUCAUUCCUGGGUCAGGGUACAUACAGGAAUCAACCAAUGAAUCCAUGAAGUGGAACAAUAAACCUGUGUGCAAAGAAAGAAGAACGCCCUCGCCAGUGUGGCUAAGUUGACUGGAGCGUCAUCCCUUGCACAGAGGUCGUGGGUUUGAUUCCCAGCCAGGGGGCAUCUAGGAGGCAACCAGUCCAUGUAUUUCAUAUCAGUUCUCUCUAUCUCUUUGUCUUCCUUCCUCCCCAAAACCAAUUUUCCUUGAGGGCAAAAAGGAUGGUAUAUGGAAGUUAAAUGUAAUUGCUUCAACCAAGGAAGGUGACUUAUUUCUGAGUAGUAUGCUCAUUUCUUUCCAAGGUAGUAUUCCAUUAAUUUUUGAAGUGCCACAAGAUCCCAAUGGAUUGUAGGAAGGAGGGCCCUUCCCUCAGUUUAGUCUCCAGGCUUCAUGCCAGUAUUGUACUGGCAUGGAGGGAAAUGAAGAGCAAAUCAUACAAGAGACAUGAUGGUAAGGGGGACCUGAACAAAAGGGAAGAUGGUGAAUGGCUAGAUCAUGUAUGUGAUUAAGUGGUCUAGCUAAACAAAAACGAUAUGGUGGCAUAAUUUUUAAUGUAAGAAAAUGAAAUCACUGAUAUAUAUAUAUAAAGGUUGACUUAUUAGCUUAAAAUUAACAUUCAAACUGGCGAUUGCAUUUUGUGGGCUUUUUUUUUUAAUAAAAACUUAUAACAAAUAAUAGUUCCUUUUGUCAUUUUGAUGUAGUGCAUUUGGGAGGUAGUAUAAAAGAAAAAUAGUGUUUUACUUAUAUUGAAUUUUAGUCUACUUGUGCCUUUGGGGAGAAAAGAUGUUCCUCAGUUUAUGGCACCAUAUAAUUAAACUGAAACAAAGGGUACUAAAGUUUUUUUGAGUUGCUCUAAGGGCUGUUUGUUGGGCUUUGAACUAGGUUUUGAGGCAUUGUUAGGCUUGGGAUAAAUUG
This is a long non-coding RNA of Pipistrellus kuhlii (Kuhl's pipistrelle), 2422 nucleotides long. RefSeq lists it as uncharacterized. The transcript has 2 exons. The record is from RefSeq and is a predicted model, not a curated record. Lineage: Eukaryota; Metazoa; Chordata; Mammalia; Chiroptera; Vespertilionidae.